Molecule: ribosomal RNA, 442 nt
Filed under: uncultured bacterium
Lineage: Bacteria
Description: partial 16S ribosomal RNA
Rfam family: Bacterial small subunit ribosomal RNA
Source: RNAcentral
CCUACGGGAGGCAGCAGUGGGGAAUAUUGGGCAAUGGGCGCAAGCCUGACCCAGCAACGCCGCGUGAAGGAAGAAGGCUUUCGGGUUGUAAACUUCUUUUUUCAGGGAAGAGUAGAAGACGGUACCUGACGAAUAAGCCACGGCUAACUACGUGCCAGCAGCCGCGGUAAUACGUAGGUGGCAGGCGUUGUCCGGAUUUACUGGGUGUAAAGGGCGUGUAGCCGGGUUGACAAGUCAGAUGUGAAAUCCUGCGGCUGAACCGCAGAACUGCAGUUGAAACUGUUGAUCUUGAGUACUGGAGAGGAAGAUGGAAUUCCUAGUGUAGCGGUGAAAUGCGUAGAUAUUAGGAGGAACACCAGUGGCGAAGGCGGUCUGCUGGACAGCAACUGACGGUGAGGCGCGAAAGCGUGGGGAGCAAACAGGAUUAGAUACCCCAGUAGUC